Molecule: ribosomal RNA, 1363 nt
Filed under: uncultured Bacteroidota bacterium
Lineage: Bacteria; Pseudomonadati; Bacteroidota
Description: bacterial SSU rRNA
Rfam family: Bacterial small subunit ribosomal RNA
Source: RNAcentral
AUGAACGCUAGCGGCAGGCUUAACACAUGCAAGUCGAGGGGUAACGGGGAAGCUUGCUUCCGCCGACGACCGGCGCACGGGUGCGUAACGCGUAUACAAUCUACCUUGUACUGGGGUAUAGCCUUUAGAAAUGAAGAUUAACCCCCCAUAGUCUCUUAGAGUGGCAUCACUUCUAGAGUAAAGGUUACGGUAUAAGAUGAGUAUGCGUUCUAUUAGUUUGUUGGUGUGGUAACGGCACACCAAGACUACGAUAGAUAGGGGCCCUGAGAGGGGGAUCCCCCACACUGGUACUGAGACACGGACCAGACUCCUACGGGAGGCAGCAGUGAGGAAUAUUGGACAAUGGAGGCAACUCUGAUCCAGCCAUGCCGCGUGCAGGAAGACUGCCCUAUGGGUUGUAAACUGCUUUUAUACAGGAAGAAACACCUCUACGUGUAGAGGCUUGACGGUACUGUAAGAAUAAGGAUCGGCUAACUCCGUGCCAGCAGCCGCGGUAAUACGGAGGAUCCAAGCGUUAUCCGGAAUCAUUGGGUUUAAAGGGUCCGUAGGUGGAUAAUUAAGUCAGAGGUGAAAUCUUGCAGCUCAACUGUAAAAUUGCCUUUGAAACUGGUUAUCUUGAGUUAUUAUGAAGUAGUUAGAAUAUGUAGUGUAGCGGUGAAAUGCAUAGAUAUUACAUAGAAUACCAAUUGCGAAGGCAGAUUACUAAUAAUCAACUGACACUGAUGGACGAAAGCGUGGGUAGCGAACAGGAUUAGAUACCCUGGUAGUCCACGCCGUAAACGAUGGUUACUAGCUGUUUGGACUUCGGUCUGAGUGGCUAAGCGAAAGUGAUAAGUAACCCACCUGGGGAGUACGUUCGCAAGAAUGAAACUCAAAGGAAUUGACGGGGGCCCGCACAAGCGGUGGAGCAUGUGGUUUAAUUCGAUGAUACGCGAGGAACCUUACCAGGGCUUAAAUGUAAGUUGCAUUAGUUAGAGAUAGCUAUUUCUUCGGACCACUUACAAGGUGCUGCAUGGUUGUCGUCAGCUCGUGCCGUGAGGUGUCAGGUUAAGUCCUAUAACGAGCGCAACCCCUGUUGUUAGUUGCCAGCGAGUCAUGUCGGGAACUCUAACAAGACUGCCAGUGCAAACUGUGAGGAAGGUGGGGAUGACGUCAAAUCAUCACGGCCCUUACGUCCUGGGCUACACACGUGCUACAAUGGUAGGUACAGAGAGCAGCCACUGCGCGAGCAGGAGCGAAUCUAUAAAACCUAUCACAGUUCGGAUCGGAGUCUGCAACUCGACUCCGUGAAGCUGGAAUCGCUAGUAAUCGGAUAUCAGCCAUGAUCCGGUGAAUACGUUCCCGGGCCUUGCACACACCGCCC